GUGGCCGAGGAAUCUCCACCGCGGCAAGACCUGUAAGGAUCCAGCUUUGCAGCUGAAGGGUGGGUAUCUCUGCCUCUUGCAACCCUGGCACUGGCAUAUUGAUGCAUGUACCUACCUCCUGGGCUCUGUAUGGCCGAUGGUUGCUGCCACCCAAGCUGCUGGGAAGAUGGCCCAGAGCGUGACCAGAGCAUGUGGCAGUAUGAACUACCUUUCUCGUCACGUGACCAAAAUAUAUGAUAAAACAACUUGAAGCGGAGCCCCCUGACUGUAGGCCACUCUCUUCCCAGGCCACGGGAAACGGAGAAAUGCUGUGGAGGUCCUGGU
This 324-nucleotide long non-coding RNA is filed under the name Mus musculus (house mouse). Its description in RNAcentral is "elncRNA-EC34". Lineage: Eukaryota; Metazoa; Chordata; Mammalia; Rodentia; Muridae. The record is from RNAcentral.